Molecule: ribosomal RNA, 553 nt
Filed under: uncultured bacterium
Lineage: Bacteria
Description: bacterial SSU rRNA
Rfam family: Bacterial small subunit ribosomal RNA
Source: RNAcentral
GCGCGUAGGCGGUCACGCACGUCCGUUGUGAAAUCGCUCGGCUCAACUGGGCGGGGUCAGCGGAUACGGCGUGGCUGGAGCAAGCUAGGGGGCAAUGGAAUUCCCGGUGUAGUGGUGGAAUGCGUAGAUAUCGGGAGGAACACCAGUGGCGAAGGCGGUUGCCUGGAGCUUUGCUGACGCUGAUGCGCGAAAGCGUGGGGAGCGAUCCGGAUUAGAUACCCGGGUAGUCCACGCCGUAAACGAUGCGGACUAGGUGUCGGGGGUAUCGACCCCCUCGGCGCCGCAGCUAACGCAUUAAGUCCGCCGCCUGGGGACUACGGCCGCAAGGCUAAAACUCAAAGGAAUUGACGGGGGCCUGCACAAGCAGCGGAGCGUGUGGUUUAAUUCGAUGCAACGCGCAGAACCUUACCUCGGCUUGACAUGCACGUGGUACCAAGGGGAAACCUGAGGGACCCGCAAGGGAGCGUGCACAGAUGCUGCAUGGCUGUCGUCAGCUCGUGCUGUGAGGUGUUGGGUUAAGUCCCGCAACGAGCGCAACCCUUGUCCCUUAGUU